GCAGACAAACUGGGAUGCAGCUGUCCAGAGGAACCCAGGGAGCCUCCCAGCCCUGUCCCAAGCCAGUCUUUACUCAGGACUUCGCUUCCCCAGACGGACGCCACACGAGGCCAACCAGCUCUAACAGCCUCUAACCACGUUGCCCACCACGUCCUGGCUGAAGGACCCGGGACCAGCUGUGAUGCAGGGCCGCCUCGGUCCUGAGGAAACUAGACCUGCCUCCUUUAAGGUUUCCGGGCUCAGUCGCAGCAGAGUCAAACCUCAUCCUCAGGAGAGCGCGCGUUGCUGGCGGAGGGUUCCAGGACAACACGCACUAAUACCACUAGGAGUGCGCAAAUGUGGUCCUAGCUCUCCAGGCAGGGAGAGCAGGUUUCCUGUUACCUGUUAUGAGCAACUCCUACAUCUGCACCCAACUGUACGCCAGCAGCACCGCUUCUCAGCUAAUCCAGCUCUUCGUUUUGGUCAUUUUGAUGGUGUUAGCAUUUUCCAGUGCUUCCCAGCCAUAUUUUCACGUGGAAAUGAACACUUACAACAUGACUAUGAUCAUUUUAGAAAGUAGCGCAUUGUAGGGAAUGUUGCUAUCUUUUUUAAAAAGGAAAAAGAAAGCUCACAGGAAAGUUUUCAUCCUUUCCCCAACACUAUGAGACUUGGUCUUUUGAAUAGUGUGACCAUUAGGCUCACACGCUGACUAAGAGCACUGCCCAGAAUUAGAAUGUCACUAGCCCAGGAAACAGUUAAAAUUCAAAGUGCGGUUCCUACUGAAUGCAAAUUGCUUCUCACCAUUGUAAAGUUGAAGAAUUGUAAGUCAAACCAUCUUAAGUCAGGGACCACUCAUCUUUGAAUAAAGGUUGAAAUUGUCUUGCUUUUCAAACGAAGUAACUCUUGAGAAAAAUUUUAGUUACUCUCUUUUGAUGGAUUUGCCUAAUUUAGACAUUUCAUAUAAAUGGAAUCAUACAAUAUCUGUCUUUUUUUGACUUAGCAUAAUGUUUUCAAAGUUUGUUCAUGAAUCAGUAUUUCAACUCUUUUGGUUGCUGAAUAAUAUACCAUCAAAGAAAUACACUACAUCUUUAAAAAAUGUAAAAAAAAAAUAGUGUGACCAAAGAUUUUAUCAAAUUACUUUCAGUAUAACCCAAACCCUCUCUAAUGCACAGACUAUGUAUCUACCCAUCCCUUAUGACCCCCAACUUAGAAUUAUUUCCUUUCCAAGGCUAAACUUCUUUGUAAUGGAAAUGUACUUGGAAAGUUUCAGCAGUGAGAAGAUAUUUCAUGGUUCAUGGUCAGGAUAUAAGCGAUGACUCAACCUUGUAGAAACCACAUAACUUGCUGUGGCUGGAAUCUUCCAUGUUAACUUUUAAUGCCGAGCUCUUAUCAGAAAUUUAUUCUCUAGGUAGUACAGUUCUACAUAUUUAAAGUUUCAGGGCCCCUUGAUGAAAACAGGCUAAGAAAACUGAGCGAGUAUAAUAAAAAAAGAUGAGGUGACAUUUGUCCUUAGCUUAGAUUUACUGUGAUAGAUGCCAGCUAUGAUCAGCUAGUUGGCGGAGCAGUUUCUGGCUCCCCGUAAACCUAUGGAGCCACUGGCUUUCGCUAUGUUUAUAUGUGGCCCUAGAAGAAGCAAUGAUGUGUUUCCAGAAGACACUGACUAUGGAGGCAUUGGCCAGAGGUACAUAUGAGAUAGAUAUGCAGAGAUAAGGGACUUUGGUCCCUUCCACAAGCCCAAAACUUCCUGGAAUGCAUGGUUAGAGAUUAAAAAACAGCCCACAGAGCCACAAGGCCAAGAAAGAUCAAAACACAUUGCUUUAAGGAAUGAAUGUUCUGGCCCUCAUCCUCCUCAUACUCUGAUUUAUUACUUAGAUUGUAAUAAGGUCAAUCAUGUAACAGGCCACCCUGACCUUCUCCUGUCCUUCCUGAUUCUAUCAAUAAAAAGCCACAGAAGCUUCAGUUCGAGGCUGUCUUUAUGAGACACUCUCAUGCUGAGGGGUCUCAGAUAAGGGUAACCCCUCUGGACCUUCCUGGAGUUUGAAUUGGACACUGGCUCCAAGUAAUCUUUCAUCCUUUGCACCAUGUCAUGGCCAUGAACUGUGACACUCUGAAAGUUGGAUUCCUUGGUGGGCCCGAGGUGCAGCCCACCUGCCUAUUUGGACCUGCUCUCUCUGAUUGGCGGUGUUUCACGUCUACUUUUCUUGUGACAGCACUGGGCCUGGACACUGUGUUAGAAAUUUUAUUUCCAUCCCUGCCUCCCAAACAGGACUGUGAGACUUUUAGAGGAGCAAAAUGUUUGUAUGUUCAAUACUAAGUAUAGUUUCUGGAAAUUAGGCAUCUAAAUUCAUGUAAGUGAAAGACUCGAAGAGAAUGUGAGCUCCAGAGAAUGCAAUCAAAGAUGGCAAACACUGAGCCCAAGCAGAAAGCCUGUCUGAGCCGGGACUUCACAGGGGACUGGAGGAAGAGCAAGACCUUUGUGAAGCUGAAUUCUUAGGAAUGUCAAUUGGGGCUAAUUGAGCAGAAUCGUUUAUCCUUCAACCUUGGAAGUUCGUAAUGGCUUCUGGCUUUGUUUUCCAUUAUUACUAAAUGUUUUUAGCAUGUGAGAAAUAGUAAUAAAUAACUACAGGACAUGAGCAAACCUUCAAUAAAGAUCUUUAUCAAUCAGAGUCAAAAUGAUUCUGGACAAAUUACUUUGGGGAGGGUGGCUUGAACCCAGGACUUCUGUAAUGAGCUACAUCCCCUGCCCUUAAAAAACAUUUUUUUAAAAAAAUUUUGACUCAGGGAUUAAGUUAUCCAGGCUAGAAUUGAAUUGGCAAUCCUUCUGUUUCAGGAUCCCAGAGUGCUGGGAUUUCAAGCCCAGGCCACCAUACUCAGCUUACAUUCUCAAUCAUGCAUCUAAUUAUGAAGAGUAAAGGUUAUUCCUCCCCUUCUUCUUUUCUUCUCAUCCUUUCCCUUUUCUUUUCUUCCCCCGCUUCCUUCUACUCCCCUUCCUGGUGCUGUUGCAGUAGCUUGGGAUCACUGGUUCCUUGAGUGGGCCAAACAAGAGCUCUAUCCCUGAGCUACAUUCCCAGGUCCUGUUCCUCCUCUUUUAUGUGCCCCCUGGGUAUGGUACUGAGCCUCUCUUGGGAGACAAUGCACACAGUGGUAAUGGACCUGAGAUUAGAAUACUAAGACUUGAAGCUGAACACUACUACUCAUUAGGCAGGUAAGUGUAGGC
Molecule: long non-coding RNA, 3196 nt
Filed under: Chinchilla lanigera (long-tailed chinchilla)
Lineage: Eukaryota; Metazoa; Chordata; Mammalia; Rodentia; Chinchillidae
Description: lncRNA (ENSCLAG00000028135.1)
Source: RNAcentral